RNAcentral lists this ribosomal RNA (253 nucleotides) under uncultured bacterium. Its description in RNAcentral is "partial 16S ribosomal RNA". It matches the Rfam family "Bacterial small subunit ribosomal RNA", at positions 524 to 776 of the family's 1533-position model. The record is from RNAcentral.
UACAGAGGGUGCAAGCGUUGUUCGGAAUUAUUGGGCGUAAAGCGCGUGUAGGCGGCUUUGCAAGUCGGGUGUGGAAGCCCUCGGCUCAACCGAGGAAGUGCGCCCGAAACUGCAGAGCUUGAGUACCGGAGAGGAUGGCGGAAUUCCCCAAGUAGAGGUGAAAUUCGUAGAUAUGGGGAGGAACACCGGUGGCGAAGGCGGCCAUCUGGACGGAUACUGAUGCUGAGACGCGAAAGCGUGGGUAGCAAACAGG